Molecule: ribosomal RNA, 505 nt
Filed under: uncultured bacterium
Lineage: Bacteria
Description: partial 16S ribosomal RNA
Rfam family: Bacterial small subunit ribosomal RNA
Source: RNAcentral
GACGAACGCUGGCGGCGUGCCUAAUACAUGCAAGUAGAACGCACAGUUUAUACCGUAGCUUGCUACACCAUAGACUGUGAGUUGCGAACGGGUGAGUAACGCGUAGGUAACCUGCCUGGUAGCGGGAGAUAACUAUUGGAAACGAUAGCUAAUACCGCAUAAUAUUAAUUAUUGCAUGAUAAUUGAUUGAAAGAUGCAACUGCAUCACUACCAGAUGGACCUGCGUUGUAUUAGCUAGUAGGUGAGGUAACGGCUCACCUAGGCGACGAUACAUAGCCGACCUGAGAGGGUGAUCGGCCACACUGGGACUGAGACACGGCCCAGACUCCUACGGGAGGCAGCAGUAGGGAAUCUUCGGCAAUGGACGAAAGUCUGACCGAGCAACGCCGCGUGAGUGAAGAAGGUUUUCGGAUCGUAAAGCUCUGUUGUAAGAGAAGAACGGGUGUGAGAGUGGAAAGUUCACACUGUGACGGUAUCUUACCAGAAAGGGACGGCUAACUACGUG